CCUACGGGUGGCUGCAGUGAGGAAUAUUGGUCCAUGGGCGAGAGCCUGAACCAGCCAAGUCGCGUGAAGGAUGAAGGAUCUAUGGUUUGUAAACUUCUUUUAUAUGGGAAUAAAGUGAGGAACGUGUUCCUUUUUGUAUGUACCAUAUGAAUAAGCAUCGGCUAACUCCGUGCCAGCAGCCGCGGUAAUACGGAGGAUGCGAGCGUUAUCCGGAUUUAUUGGGUUUAAAGGGAGCGUAGGUGGAUUGUUAAGUCAGUUGUGAAAGUUUGCGGCUCAACCGUAAAAUUGCAGUUGAAACUGGCAGUCUUGAGUACAGUAGAGGUGGGUGGAAUUCUUGGUGUAGGGGUAAAAUCCGUAGAGAUCAAGAGGAAUACUCAUUGCGAAGGCGACCUGCUAGAACAUAACUGACGCUGAUGCGCGAAAGCGUGGGGAGCAAACAGGAUUAGAUACCCUUGUAGUC
Molecule: ribosomal RNA, 460 nt
Filed under: uncultured bacterium
Lineage: Bacteria
Description: partial 16S ribosomal RNA
Rfam family: Bacterial small subunit ribosomal RNA
Source: RNAcentral